CCUACGGGAGGCAGCAGUGAGGAAUAUUGGUCAAUGGCCGGAAGGCUGAACCAGCCAUGCCGCGUGAAGGUCAGUGCCCUAUGGGCGUUAAACUUCUUUUGUGCGGGAGCAAUAAUGGUCACGUGUGGCCAGACGAGAGUACCGUACGACUAAGCAUCGGCUAACUCCGUGCCAGCAGCCGCGGUAAUACGGGGGAUGCAAGCGUUAUCCGGGUUUAUUGGGUUUAAAGGGUGCGUAGGCUGUGAGGUAAGUCAGCGGGGAAAUGCUCCCGCUCAACGGGGUGAAGUGCCAUUGAUAUUGCCUUGCUGGAAUGCGGAUGCCGUGGGAGGAAUGUGUGGUGUAGCGGUGAAAUGCAUAGAUAUCACACAGAACACCGAUUGCGAAGGCAUCUCACGAAUCCGCGAUUGACGCUGAUGCACGAAAGCGUGGGUAUCAAACAGGAUUAGAUACCCUAGUAGUC
This 460-nucleotide ribosomal RNA is filed under the name uncultured bacterium. RNAcentral's name for it is "partial 16S ribosomal RNA". It matches the Rfam family "Bacterial small subunit ribosomal RNA", at positions 338 to 795 of the family's 1533-position model. The record is from RNAcentral.